RNAcentral lists this ribosomal RNA (257 nucleotides) under uncultured prokaryote. Its description in RNAcentral is "partial 16S ribosomal RNA". It matches the Rfam family "Bacterial small subunit ribosomal RNA", at positions 524 to 780 of the family's 1533-position model. The record is from RNAcentral.
UACGUAGGUGGCAAGCGUUGUCCGGAUUUAUUGGGCGUAAAGCGAGCGCAGGCGGCUCCUUAAGUCUGAUGUGAAAGCCCACGGCUCAACCGUGGAAGGUCAUUGGAAACUGGGGAACUUGAGUGCAGAAGAGGAGAGUGGAAUUCCAUGUGUAGCGGUGAAAUGCGUAGAUAUAUGGAGGAACACCAGUGGCGAAGGCGACUCUCUGGUCUGUAACUGACGCUGAGGCUCGAAAGCGUGGGGAGCAAACAGGAUUA